Hydrogenophaga sp. PBC is the source of this 60-nucleotide non-coding RNA. The record is from Rfam. Lineage: Bacteria; Pseudomonadati; Pseudomonadota; Betaproteobacteria; Burkholderiales; Comamonadaceae.
GGCAGGAGUAGAAGCGUUCAGCGGGUCGCCCCACGCACCCGCCCGGAAAUUGCUCUGUAG